GUCUAUUUGGAGUUAUAAAAAGUCUAACCUGCCCACUGAUAAAUAAUAAUUGAAUGGCCGCGGUAUCUUGACCGUGCAAAGGUAGCAUAAUCGUUAGUUUUUUAAUUGGAAUCUUGUAUGAAUGGUUGGACAAAAGAAAAUCUGUCUUUAUAUUAUUAGUUGAAUUUAACUUUUAAGUGAAAAGGCUUAAAUACAUUUAAGGGACGAUAAGACCCUAUAAAGCUUAAUAUUAAAAUUUUAUUUAGUUGAAUUUUACAUGAUAAAAACUUAGUAAUUAAAUUUAUUUUAUUGGGGCGAUAAAAGUAAAAUGACUAUUAACUGCUUAAUUUUCAAUACAUAAUAAAUGAGUGAAUUUCUAAAUGAUCCUAGUUAAAGAUUAAAAGUUCAAGUUACUUUAGGGAUAACAGCGUUAUUUUUUUUAAGAGUACUUAUCGAAAAAAAAGUUUGCGACCUCGAUGUUGAAUUAAAAUAUCUUUGUAAUUGCAGGAGUUACAAAAGUAGGUCUGUUCGACCUUUAAAAUUUUACAUGAUUUGAGUUCAAACCGGCGUGAG
This 552-nucleotide ribosomal RNA is filed under the name Austrohelice crassa. Its description in RNAcentral is "partial 16S ribosomal RNA". It matches the Rfam family "Bacterial large subunit ribosomal RNA", at positions 1831 to 2625 of the family's 2925-position model. Lineage: Eukaryota; Metazoa; Arthropoda; Malacostraca; Decapoda; Varunidae. The record is from RNAcentral.